This 1050-nucleotide long non-coding RNA is filed under the name Dendronephthya gigantea. RNAcentral describes it as "uncharacterized LOC114531674, transcript variant X4". The record is from RNAcentral. Lineage: Eukaryota; Metazoa; Cnidaria; Anthozoa; Malacalcyonacea; Nephtheidae.
GAUGAGCUUCUCUCUCGAUCUAUUCAAUAUGGUGGUCAGUCAAGAAAUGUUUUUGCUUGCAAAAAGAUCGUAAAAUGUUGGCGCUACAAGCUCGGAAAAGAUUGUAAAUGAGAUCAGGCUUUUUUAGCUUUACCAUCAUCACAGGAUAACAAGAAGGAAGCAUCGAAACAAAUUCAAAGAUGACUAAUUUUAACAUGGUGGAUACGAAAGUCCUUCCUUGAAAACCUACUUCAGUCAUUGAUUAAAAGUCCAGCGAGAAAUAAAGUGAAAGGCGCGUAGAUUUGAAAACCACGAGAUUGUUUUUGCCAAUGUUUUGAUCUGAGGGUUUAAAGAAUCACUUUUACAAUUGAAACUGGAAUGCAAUGAUAAGAAAGGGAAAUGUGGAAUAAAUGCCUGGAAAGACAAUAUAAACUAUAAUUUGAAACUGGAAUGCAAUGAUAAGAAAGGGAAAUAAACUAUUGCUAAAGCUAAAGAACCACUGAAGCUAAAGAAUUGAGAUACAACAAUCUUUGACUGACUUUAGGUAUAGGUGGCGAUCGAAGGUGGACAGCAAGAUCGAAGCUCAGCAAGAUUGAAGAUUGUUCGAGGAAGAAGGAGUUCGCCGUUGACUAAAAGGUUUAUCUGAACAGCUAUUUGUCAAGAUGAACGUGAAGAGAAAAAAGAUGAGAAUAGAAGACUCGCCCGGCCAAAUUCAAAAUGGCGAUGCCAAAGAAAACCAUCCACGUGGACCGUUCGCGGACCUUUCUGAGCAAGAUUGUUGUGCUGUCUGGUCAAAGUUAAGUAUUUUACUUUGUCUUUGAUGUUUGUGUGCCUUCUGCUAAUUGUUGGCCAGAAAUGACAAAAAGCCAUAUACAAUAUGAAAUAUUCUGCGUACAAGGUUAUCUAAAGUUUCGAGCUUAAUUCUGCCUGCAAUGAUGAUAAUUUUUUACUGAAAAUUUAUGUCAUGAGCAAUUUCCGCACCUAUAGACUGAAGCAGAACUGAACAUUUUGUCAUUAACGUUUAUCUCAACAGCCAGUUAUCAAGACGAACGUCAAGAGAACAGUUGAAAU